AGGGUAAGCAGCUUUCUUGCAUCAUGUCUUUUGCUACAAUGUUCUGCCUCACAGGCCCAAACAAUAGAACCAAGUGAUCAUGAACGGGAAGCUCUGAAACUCAGCACAGCUUCCAGGAGGGGCAGCCCCUUGCCUGCCAGCCACCUUGGCCAGAGGGCCCACAACAUGGCUGGGCAACCCAGUUCCCAGCCGAAAGCCCCACCUGUUCUCUCCCUGUCCUGGCUACACUCCGUUCUCAAGUCUGACAGGGUUCUGAAGCAGAAACAUGGCAAUCUCCUCAUCAGUGUUUUCAUCUGGACUCAAAGAUGUUUCCCAUCUCUCUUGGCCUCCCUUAUUUAUUCUCCAAACACUAAAGAGCCUGCUGCAUGUUACACAGGUGGCUGAGAGGAAAAGAAAGGACCUCUGGGGCAGUGAACUACUGGAAGAUGCAUUUCUUUUCCUCAAUCAAGAUCCAGUCAUCUCCACUCUUCCCUAAGACCUAGAGUUAGA
Ictidomys tridecemlineatus (thirteen-lined ground squirrel) is the source of this 489-nucleotide non-coding RNA. The record is from RefSeq and is a predicted model, not a curated record. Lineage: Eukaryota; Metazoa; Chordata; Mammalia; Rodentia; Sciuridae.